Lagenorhynchus albirostris (white-beaked dolphin) is the source of this 1164-nucleotide long non-coding RNA. RefSeq lists it as uncharacterized. The transcript is spliced from 3 exons. Lineage: Eukaryota; Metazoa; Chordata; Mammalia; Artiodactyla; Delphinidae. The record is from RefSeq and is a predicted model, not a curated record.
GCGGGAGCAGCGACCACCCGGCGGUCUCACGCUGUUCUUCCACGGGAAGCAGAAAUACGCUUGAGAGAAAAGAAACAGUUUCUUUUUGACAAAUGCAUGUCUUUGUACAGAAGUCUUUUCUGCAUCUCUCGUUAUACCCUUUAGACAUUUCCGAGUGGAUUUUCUGGAAGGGGUGUGCUAACUUACACCCCGUGGGAGCAUUAGCUCUUAAUACCGUUUGUGAAGGUUCUCUUAGUCUUUAAGUUAAAAACAUUUAUUUAUGUUAUUUAUUUGGCUGUUCCGGGUCUUAGUUGCGGCAUGCAGUAUCUUUAGUUGCGAUGUGCGGGAUCUAGUUCCCUGACCAGGGAUCAAACCCAGGCCUCCUGCAUUGGGAGCGCGGAGUCUUACGCACUGGACCGCCAGGGAAGUCCCUCAUUUCUGUAUUUUGAAUAAAUAUACGACGUGAUGUUUCCUGUGGGCUUUUCCUUCAUUCCAGGCUCAAAGGCUUGGCCGGAGGUUGUUAAGAUCUACACGUUCCAUUCAGGGAGCCUGGGGACACCCGGGCUUCCUGAGGCGUGCAGGGCGGCGGCCCAGUUGCCACCAGUCAGCCCUCCAGACCCUCUCACUCCUGGCAGCAGAGACUUCUUCACUGGACGGACGUCGGCUCAGCCAGAGCUGUUGCCCGUCGGGAACCCUGUGUCACCCCAGUGGGAGAAGGAAAGCUGGGGACAGGUGAAGGUUCAGGGCGGGAAGGGGAGCAGCCCCCAGCUGGCCUUGGGGCCAACCCCUCCCUUGGGUGGAGUCGAGGCCGUGGGUGACAAGCGGACCCCAGGAAGCCAGCUCGAGAAGAGAUGCCAGGAAGGAGGAAAAAGGGGGCUGGUGCACUCCUCCUCGACUCCCACUUCAGGCACUAAGCACUUACGCAGAUGCAUCAGAAGUCACGGCAUCUGCCCAGAACGUCUCUAGGGACUGGCUACCCAGUGGGAAGCGGUAGUGUGAUUUUGGACAAAGUUCUUGGAGGUUUUCUGAUGUUCACGACUGACCUUUGCUGACUGUCCUUCACUUCUCCACCUGAGACCUUGUUCCGCAUCCUGGUUGGUCUGGAAGGGCUUUGGUGUCGCACUGCUGAGGCCUCCAUUUACUGGCUGGCAGCCCCCUGAGUUCACGUGAGGAGUGGAGUUCUGA